GACGAACGCUGGCGGCGUGCUUAACACAUGCAAGUCGAACGGAAGGGCCCUGCUUUUGUGGGGUGCUCGAGUGGCGAACGGGUGAGUAACACGUGAGUAACCUGCCCUUGACUUUGGGAUAACUUCAGGAAACUGGGGCUAAUACCGGAUAGGAGCUCCUGCUGCAUGGUGGGGGUUGGAAAGUUUCGGCGGUUGGGGAUGGACUCGCGGCUUAUCAGCUUGUUGGUGGGGUAGUGGCUUACCAAGGCUUUGACGGGUAGCCGGCCUGAGAGGGUGACCGGCCACAUUGGGACUGAGAUACGGCCCAGACUCCUACGGGAGGUAGCAGUGGGGAAUAUUGCACAAUGGGCGGAAGCCUGAUGCAGCAACGCCGCGUGCGGGAUGACGGCCUUCGGGUUGUAAACCGCUUUCGCCUGUGACGAAGCGUGAGUGACGGUAAUGGGUAAAGAAGCACCGGCUAACUACGUG
This 468-nucleotide ribosomal RNA is filed under the name uncultured bacterium. RNAcentral's name for it is "partial 16S ribosomal RNA". It matches the Rfam family "Bacterial small subunit ribosomal RNA", at positions 28 to 507 of the family's 1533-position model. The record is from RNAcentral.